Molecule: long non-coding RNA, 740 nt
Filed under: Prunus dulcis (almond)
Lineage: Eukaryota; Viridiplantae; Streptophyta; Magnoliopsida; Rosales; Rosaceae
Description: sRNA ncRNA
Source: RNAcentral
AUGCAGGGAACUAACCAAACAGCAAGGCCUAAAUCUGACACGUGUCAAUCCGCACCCCACGUGGCAUUACCAGAAUUUGCAGUGUGCCACCUAUAUGUAACUGAUAAGGGUUCUUCCUUCUCUUAUAUAUCCUCUACUUCUCUUUCACUGAAAGUAAAUCUAAUUCUCUCGGUCCACAUUAUCCUUAGCACAAGCAUAAGAUCCUCAACCAAAUUUAGCACAACUGGUCUCAUCAUCUUCAUCAUCAUGGGUUCAGAAACGUUUCUAGAAGUGAUAUUGGCAAUUAUCCUGCCACCUGUUGGGGUCUUCCUCCGCUAUGGCUGUGGAGUAAAUUCUUUUACCCUAAUGCCCAAAUGCCAUUCUAUUUCUGUUCUUUUUUGAGUUUUGAGUUUGAUUUAAUUGUUAAAUCAUAUUGUGGAAAAUGCAGGUGGAGUUCUGGAUUUGUUUGUUGCUGACACUGUUGGGAUAUAUUCCGGGAAUUAUAUAUGCGUUAUAUGUACUGGUCGGAUGAUCAAGGUUUUCUGGAGGUGAAAGAAUAAUAAUAUGGCAAACGACAUGUGUGGUGUGGAUUAGUUUGGUUAAUGUCACUUUGACUUUGUAAUUCAGGAUCAUAAUAUAGUUUUCUUAUAAAUUUUCCUUGUGUGCUCUGUUCUUGUUCUUUAUUUUUUUGAUGAAGCAAGCAAUUGCACACUGUAAUUACAUUCACUUAAUGCUAAUUGACACUAAUGUAGAAAGUGGAA